CCAAUUUAUAGCCUGCUAUUAUACUUGUUCUAACCCAUUUUCCCUCUCUCUUCUUCAUGUACACAUAAAUACGGCGUGACAAACCUUGAAACCUGUUUAACUUACUUAGAGCAUCUCCAACAGACAGCCUAAAUUAGGCUCUCCAAAUACUUAUUUGGCAACUCUCUAUUUCAUUUGGCCACUCAAAUUUGUUUUUUACUUCAAUAGUCUCUCCAUCCACCCUCCCUAUUCCGAGUCUAUGACAGUUGGGUCCCACAUGUCAUCCUCUUCUCUCCCUCAAUCUCUUUUCUCCCUCUUUUAUUUUUCUCUCUUUCUUUCUCACCCGAAGCAGGCGGUGGCGCAGGGAGUCGCGGGAGGCAGCGC
RNAcentral lists this long non-coding RNA (363 nucleotides) under Oryza brachyantha (malo sina). RNAcentral describes it as "long non-coding RNA (OBRA_LNC001866)". Lineage: Eukaryota; Viridiplantae; Streptophyta; Magnoliopsida; Poales; Poaceae. The record is from RNAcentral.